RNAcentral lists this ribosomal RNA (253 nucleotides) under uncultured bacterium. Its description in RNAcentral is "partial 16S ribosomal RNA". It matches the Rfam family "Bacterial small subunit ribosomal RNA", at positions 524 to 776 of the family's 1533-position model. The record is from RNAcentral.
UACGGGGGGGGCAAGCGUUGUUCGGAAUUACUGGGCGUAAAGGGCUCGUAGGUGGCCAACUAAGUCAGACGUGAAAUCCCUCGGCUUAACCGGGGAGCUGCGUCUGAUACUGGAUGGCUUGAGUUCGGGAGAGGGAUGCGGAAUUCCAGGUGUAGCGGUGAAAUGCGUAGAUAUCUGGAGGAACACCGGUGGCGAAGGCGGCAUCCUGGACCGACACUGACACUGAUGCGCGACAGCAUGGGGAGCAAACAGG